AGUGGCUCGCAGCUAAAAAUGUUGUGAACCGCUGCUUUGAUCUAUCAAUUAAUCGGUGUGAUUGUGAUGUUUACAAACCAAAAACUUCUGUUUACUUUUACAGGCGGCGAACAUGGCAGCCAGAUGUUGCCCCAUCAAACAAUGUGAUGGGUGAAAUGUUGAAACGUUCAGUAGGAAAGCAGCAUAUGCAAAGACUAUCGGUGCUCAACCACAUGUUCAUGGAAAACAUAACGGAUUAUUUGUCUUCAUGCGAGCUGUCUGAGAAACUUACUGAGUUCAAUUUAGAAAUAUCUGAGGUAAAAAUAUCAGUCGAUUUGAAUUUUUUGAGAGUUUAUUGGAGCAGCACUGCCCGGGACAGUCAUGAUAUAAUUCAAGCAGAGCUAGAAAACAUUGCUUUCCCAUUAAGGAGUGAAUUGUCGCGGUUGCAAGUGAUGGGAUCUGUACCACAAAUUAUUUUGUAAGAGGUUAGACUUUCCACCUUUUUUUCACAAUUUUUGCAUUUUAAGAUGAACGGUAGAAAGGGAAAAAAGGAAAUUUUCCACGUACAACAUCAUCUCCACCAUUUAGAGUCUUCUCCCGUGAGGAAGGCUCUCAAUAGCCAGGAUUCCUGAUUGAAGGUAAAGCAGUUAAUCAGAAUGAUGCUCCGGAAAAUCGAGUGCAAAGUGAAAGUGAUAGGCAAAAUUUUCAGGUUAGUUUCAGAAAAGAAAUUUGAGUGCUCUGUACCAGGAAUACAUCAGCAGGUUUAAAAUUUUCUUGGGAAUGCCUGUAUCUCUGCACCGUACCAAUAAUCGGCCAUGGUAUGUCUCUUUGUAAAAGUGUGAGGACAGUGAGAUUUCUUUUCUGUAUUCUUUAGCAGCUUUUGUAUUUUGAAAGAUUUUAAUGUCUUUUCACAUCCACUUUUUUCCAAGAAACUUUGCAAAAUUCCAUAACUCUCCAUCAUGAAAAAAGAUUUGGCCACAUAUUCAUUGUUAACCAGAGAGACUGUCAUGUGUUGUUCUUUCAAUUGGUUGCCCAGAAUGUUUAGACCCUUCUGUUUAACUCUUUUAUAUAUUCCCAAUUCGUCUGUUGAUUAAGUUUUUUUUUUGAGAAAAUAGCAUUUCUCGAAUUUUAAUUUUUUCUCUUUUUCUCUAAUUCUAGAUGAGAAAAAUGACUCUUUGGCUAUAAUAGACGACCUUCUAAGGAAAGCAGACUAUGGUGAAGAUUUUAUACCAUCAGAUGCAACUUUAUUCCAAGGCAUCGAAUUCCCCAAAUCUGCGGAGGUGAGAUUAAUACUGUUUUAUGAGUGUUACUCAAACAUCCAAGAACUGACUGGGUGUGUAGGUCUUUUCCUUUCAGCCGAAAUUAUUAUAUUAUUUGCAGUCUAUCCCCAUGUGCUUGAGAGCUGAUAACUCUUUUUAUUUCACCUUUAAUUCUGUUUGUUCGGAUUCUGCAAGAAAUAGAACUUGCAGAAUUGCAGAGGUCUUAUUUCCAUCUUUGUCAUGCUCCGCCACUAUGUUUGUUGUGUUCAUCACAUUUGAAUCGGGACGUGCGAAAACCGCUAAUGUCCAUUUUUCUAAUCCUCAGUUUUUAAAGUUGAUAAUAUUUUUAAGAGUUGAUACAACCAUAAAACUCGUUUUGGGAUUAAGGUAACCCAGAGACGAGUAUUAACGCCACUUUCGUGGUUGCAUCCAACUCCGAUAAGUAUUAUCAACUCAAAAAAACUGAAGACUGGAAUAAUGGACAUUCGCGGUUUUCGCACGUCCUGAUUCAUUUGAGACGAAUUUCUAACCCGCCCCAGUUUUAGUUUUUUUUUUUUCUUAGUAAUCGCAGGAUCUCUUGGUUUCGCUUAUUUUAUCUUUUUCUUUGUAAAUUAUUGUAACACAAAACUUUUUUAGGCUUUAGAAUUUGAAGCCUCUGAAGCAGGAAGAAAGCCGCAGAAGAACGUUUACACGAAUCCCGUC
This 1940-nucleotide long non-coding RNA is filed under the name Bemisia tabaci. RNAcentral describes it as "lncRNA ENSSSA1UGG011580". The record is from RNAcentral. Lineage: Eukaryota; Metazoa; Arthropoda; Insecta; Hemiptera; Aleyrodidae.